This 115-nucleotide ribosomal RNA is filed under the name Pteropus alecto (black flying fox). Lineage: Eukaryota; Metazoa; Chordata; Mammalia; Chiroptera; Pteropodidae. The record is from RNAcentral.
GUCUAUAGCCAGGCCAUUCUGAACAAGCCCAAUGUCUGAUCUCAGAAGCUAAGCAGGUCGGGCCUGGUUCGCACUUAGAUGGGAGACCACCUAGGAAGACUGGGUGCUGUAGGCA